CAGUGCUGCAGCAGGGCAGAAAACUGGGCCAAGUUCCCAGGGUAUGAAUACCACUUCUGCACCUGGUCUGCAGACACACCCAGGUGGGCUCAGGUGUGUGAGUGCCACUUCUCCUGGUCACAGGCACACCCAGGUAGGCUCAGGUGUGUGAAUGCCACUUCUCCUGGUCACAGGCACACUCAGGUGGGCUCAGGUGUGUGAAUACCACUUCUCCUGCUCACAGGCACGCUCAGGUAGGCUCAGGUGUAUGAGUGCCACUUCUCCUGGUCACAGGCACGCUCAGGUGGGCUCAGGUGUGUGAGUGCCACUUCUCCUGGUCACAGGCACACUCAGGUGGGCUCAGGUGUGUGAGUGCCACUUCUCCUGGUCACAGGCACACUCAGGUAGGCUCAGGUGUGUGAGUGCCACUUCUCCCGGUCACAGGCACGCUCAGGUAGGCUCAGGUGUAUGAGUGCCACUUCUCCUGGUCACAGGCAGGCCCAGGUGGGCUCAGGUGUGUGAAUACCACUUCUCCUGGUCACAGGCACGCUCAGGUGUGUGAAUACCACUUCUCCUGGACACAGGCACACCCAGGUAGGCUCAGGUGUGUGAGCGCCACUUCUCCUGGUCACAGGCACGCCCAGGUAGGCUCAGGUGUGUAGGUGCCACUUCUCCUGGUCACAGGUACGCCCAGGUAGGCUCAGGUGAGUGAAUACCACUUCUCCUGGACACAGGCACACCCAGGUAGGCUCAGGUGUGUGAAUACCACUUCUCCUGGUCACAGGCACACUCAGGUAGGCUCAGGUGUGUGAAUACCACUUCUCCUGGUCACAGGCACGCUCAGGUAGGCUCAGGUGUGUGAGUGCCACUUCUCCUGGUCACAGACACGCCCAGGUAGGCUCAGGUGUGUGAGUGCCACCUCUCCUGGUUAUAGGCACACCCAGGUAGGCUCAGGCGGUCCAAGGAGGGGCCUGGCAUCUCAG
This is a non-coding RNA of Oryctolagus cuniculus (rabbit), 962 nucleotides long. Lineage: Eukaryota; Metazoa; Chordata; Mammalia; Lagomorpha; Leporidae. The record is from RefSeq and is a predicted model, not a curated record.